GACGAACGCUGGCGGCGUGCUUAACACAUGCAAGUCGAACGGACAGACAGAGAGCUUGCUCUCUUGAAGUUAGUGGCGAACGGGUGAGUAACGCGUAAUCAACCUGCCCUUCAGAGGGGGAUAACAACGGGAAACCGUUGCUAAUACCGCGUACGAUUCAUGAACGGCAUCGUUUAUGAAUGAAAGGUGGCCUCUAUGUAUAAGCUAUCGCUGAAGGAGGGGAGUUCGUCUGAUUAGCUAGUUGGAGGGGUAACGGCCCACCAAGGCAAUGAUCAGUAGCCGGUCUGAGAGGAUGAACGGCCACAUUGGGACUGAGACACGGCCCAAACUCCUACGGGAGGCAGCAGUGGGGAAUCUUCCGCAAUGGACGAAAGUCUGACGGAGCAACGCCGCGUGAGUGAUGAAGGUCUUCGGAUUGUAAAGCUCUGUUAAUCGGGACGAAAGAGUUCUGCGUGAAUAAUGCAGAAAAGUGACGGUACCGGAAUAGAAAGCCACGGCUAACUACGUGCCAGCCGCCGCAGUAA
RNAcentral lists this ribosomal RNA (524 nucleotides) under uncultured bacterium. Its description in RNAcentral is "partial 16S ribosomal RNA". It matches the Rfam family "Bacterial small subunit ribosomal RNA", at positions 28 to 523 of the family's 1533-position model. The record is from RNAcentral.